RNAcentral lists this ribosomal RNA (419 nucleotides) under uncultured bacterium. RNAcentral describes it as "bacterial SSU rRNA". It matches the Rfam family "Bacterial small subunit ribosomal RNA", at positions 29 to 448 of the family's 1533-position model. The record is from RNAcentral.
AACGAACGCUGGCGGCGUGCUUAACACAUGCAAGUCGAACGAGAAAGGGACUUCGGUCCUGAUUAGAGUGGCGCACGGGUGAGUAACACGUGGGUAAUCUACCCUUGAGUUGGGGAUAACCUGUCGAAAGAUGGGCUAAUACCGAAUGAUAUUGCUUUUCAUUAAGGAGAGUAAUUAAAGAUUUAUCGCUUGGGGAUGAGCCCGCGUCUGAUUAGCUAGUUGGUGGGGUAAUGGCCUACCAAGGCGACGAUCAGUAGCUGGUCUGAGAGGAUGAUCAGUCACACUGGAACUGGAACACGGUCCAGACUCCUACGGGAGGCAGCAGUGGGGAAUAUUGCGCAAUGGGGGAAACCCUGACGCAGCGACGCCGCGUGGGUGAGGAAGGUUUUAGGAUCGUAAAGCCCUGUCAAGUGGGAAGA